This 1550-nucleotide ribosomal RNA is filed under the name Klebsiella variicola. RNAcentral's name for it is "bacterial SSU rRNA". It matches the Rfam family "Bacterial small subunit ribosomal RNA". The record is from RNAcentral. Lineage: Bacteria; Pseudomonadati; Pseudomonadota; Gammaproteobacteria; Enterobacterales; Enterobacteriaceae.
AAAUUGAAGAGUUUGAUCAUGGCUCAGAUUGAACGCUGGCGGCAGGCCUAACACAUGCAAGUCGAGCGGUAGCACAGAGAGCUUGCUCUCGGGUGACGAGCGGCGGACGGGUGAGUAAUGUCUGGGAAACUGCCUGAUGGAGGGGGAUAACUACUGGAAACGGUAGCUAAUACCGCAUAACGUCGCAAGACCAAAGUGGGGGACCUUCGGGCCUCAUGCCAUCAGAUGUGCCCAGAUGGGAUUAGCUGGUAGGUGGGGUAACGGCUCACCUAGGCGACGAUCCCUAGCUGGUCUGAGAGGAUGACCAGCCACACUGGAACUGAGACACGGUCCAGACUCCUACGGGAGGCAGCAGUGGGGAAUAUUGCACAAUGGGCGCAAGCCUGAUGCAGCCAUGCCGCGUGUGUGAAGAAGGCCUUCGGGUUGUAAAGCACUUUCAGCGGGGAGGAAGGCGGUGAGGUUAAUAACCUCAUCGAUUGACGUUACCCGCAGAAGAAGCACCGGCUAACUCCGUGCCAGCAGCCGCGGUAAUACGGAGGGUGCAAGCGUUAAUCGGAAUUACUGGGCGUAAAGCGCACGCAGGCGGUCUGUCAAGUCGGAUGUGAAAUCCCCGGGCUCAACCUGGGAACUGCAUUCGAAACUGGCAGGCUAGAGUCUUGUAGAGGGGGGUAGAAUUCCAGGUGUAGCGGUGAAAUGCGUAGAGAUCUGGAGGAAUACCGGUGGCGAAGGCGGCCCCCUGGACAAAGACUGACGCUCAGGUGCGAAAGCGUGGGGAGCAAACAGGAUUAGAUACCCUGGUAGUCCACGCUGUAAACGAUGUCGAUUUGGAGGUUGUGCCCUUGAGGCGUGGCUUCCGGAGCUAACGCGUUAAAUCGACCGCCUGGGGAGUACGGCCGCAAGGUUAAAACUCAAAUGAAUUGACGGGGGCCCGCACAAGCGGUGGAGCAUGUGGUUUAAUUCGAUGCAACGCGAAGAACCUUACCUGGUCUUGACAUCCACAGAACUUAGCAGAGAUGCUUUGGUGCCUUCGGGAACUGUGAGACAGGUGCUGCAUGGCUGUCGUCAGCUCGUGUUGUGAAAUGUUGGGUUAAGUCCCGCAACGAGCGCAACCCUUAUCCUUUGUUGCCAGCGGUCCGGCCGGGAACUCAAAGGAGACUGCCAGUGAUAAACUGGAGGAAGGUGGGGAUGACGUCAAGUCAUCAUGGCCCUUACGACCAGGGCUACACACGUGCUACAAUGGCAUAUACAAAGAGAAGCGACCUCGCGAGAGCAAGCGGACCUCAUAAAGUAUGUCGUAGUCCGGAUUGGAGUCUGCAACUCGACUCCAUGAAGUCGGAAUCGCUAGUAAUCGUAGAUCAGAAUGCUACGGUGAAUACGUUCCCGGGCCUUGUACACACCGCCCGUCACACCAUGGGAGUGGGUUGCAAAAGAAGUAGGUAGCUUAACCUUCGGGAGGGCGCUUACCACUUUGUGAUUCAUGACUGGGGUGAAGUCGUAACAAGGUAACCGUAGGGGAACCUGCGGUUGGAUCACCUCCUUACCUUAAAGAA